CCUACGGGAGGCAGCAGUGAGGAAUAUUGGUCAAUGGACGAGAGUCUGAACCAGCCAAGUAGCGUGAAGGAUGACUGCCCUAUGGGUUGUAAACUUCUUUUAUAUGGGAAUAAAAUGUUCCACGUGUGGGAUUUUGUAUGUACCAUAUGAAUAAGGAUCGGCUUACUCCGUGCCAGCAGCCGCGGUAAUACGGAGGAUUCGAGCGUUAUCCGGAUUUAUUGGGUUUAAAGGGAGCGUAGGUGGAUUGAUAAGUCAGUUGUGAAAGUUUGCGGCUCAACCGUAAAAUUGCAGUUGAAACUGGCAGUCUUGAGUACAGUAGAGGUGGGCGGAAUUCGUGGUGUAGCGGUGAAAUGCUUAGAUAUCACGAAGAACUCCGAUUGCGAAGGCAGUUCACUGGACUGCAACUGACACUGAGGCUCGAAAGUGUGGGUAUCAAACAGGAUUAGAUACCCCGGUAGUC
This 460-nucleotide ribosomal RNA is filed under the name uncultured bacterium. RNAcentral describes it as "partial 16S ribosomal RNA". It matches the Rfam family "Bacterial small subunit ribosomal RNA", at positions 338 to 795 of the family's 1533-position model. The record is from RNAcentral.